This 253-nucleotide ribosomal RNA is filed under the name uncultured bacterium. RNAcentral's name for it is "partial 16S ribosomal RNA". It matches the Rfam family "Bacterial small subunit ribosomal RNA", at positions 524 to 776 of the family's 1533-position model. The record is from RNAcentral.
UACGGGGGGGGCAAGCGUUGUUCGGAAUUACUGGGCGUAAAGGGCUUGUAGGUGGCCAACUAAGUCAGACGUGAAAUCCCUCAGCUUAACUGGGGAACUGCGUCUGAUACUGGAUGGCUUGAGUUUGGGAGAGGGACGCGGAAUUCCAGGUGUAGCGGUGAAAUGCGUAGAUAUCUGGAGGAACACCGGUGGCGAAGGCGGGUCUCUGGGACGUUACUGACGCUGAGACGCGAAAGCGUGGGGAGCAAACAGG